Molecule: ribosomal RNA, 1332 nt
Filed under: seawater metagenome
Description: bacterial LSU rRNA
Rfam family: Bacterial large subunit ribosomal RNA
Source: RNAcentral
GGCUUGGAAGCAGCCAUUCAUUUAAAGAGUGCGUAACAGCUCACUAGUCGAGCGGUCAGGCGUGGAUAAUAAUCGGGCAUAAGUAUACUACCGAAGCAAUGGACAUGAAAAUGUGGUAGGGGAGCAUUCUAGUUGCGCCGAAGGUGAAAUGUAAGUUUUGCUGGAGCGGCUAGAAAAGAAAAUGUAGGAAUGAGUAACGAUAAUGCGGGUGAGAAACCCGCACGCCGAAAAUCUAAGGUUUCCUCAGCUAUGCUAAUCAGCUGAGGGUUAGUCGCGACCUAAGGCGAACCCGAACGGGGUAGUCGAUGGACAACAGGUUAAUAUUCCUGUACUGGUUUAUACUGCGAUGGGGUGACGAUGUACUGAAAGCACCGCGGACUGACGGAAUAGUCCGUUGAAAACUGUAUCUAUAGGACCUGUAGGCAAAUCCGCAGGACCUGGAGAAGGUUGAUAGUACCAAGAGUCUUCGGACAAUUGGAUAGUGUGCCUAAAAACAUCCAAGAAAAACCUCUAAGCUUCAGGUAUAAACAACGCGUACCGUAAACCGACACAGGUAGAUGGGAUGAGAAUUCUAAGGCGCUCGAGUGAUUCAUGGCUAAGGAACUAGGCAAAAUCGUCUUGUAACUUCGGGAGAAAAGACGCCUGCUUCGGCAGGCCGCAGUGAAAAGGCCCAGGCGACUGUUUAUCAAAAACACAGGACUCUGCUAAAUCGAAAGAUGAUGUAUAGGGUCUGACACCUGCCCGGUGCUGGAAGGUUAAGAGGAGAUGUUAGCUUCGGCGAAGCAUUGAAUUGAAGCCCCAGUAAACGGCGGCCGUAACUAUAACGGUCCUAAGGUAGCGAAAUUCCUUGUCGGGUAAGUUCCGACCUGCACGAAUGGUGUAACGAUCUGGGCACUGUCUCAGCCAUGAGCUCGGUGAAAUUGUAGUAUCGGUGAAGAUGCCGAUUACCCGCAGCGGGACGAAAAGACCCCGUGAACCUUCACUACAACUUUGUAUUGACAUUGGACAAGAGAUGUGUAGGAUAGGUGGGAGACUAUGAAGCGUUGUCGCUAGGCAGCGUGGAGUCAACCUUGAAAUACCACCCUUCGCUUGUUUGAUGCCUAACCCCGCAAGGGGGACAGUGCAUGGUGGGUAGUUUGACUGGGGUGGUCGCCUCCAAAAGAGUAACGGAGGCUUUCAAAGGUAUCCUCAGUACGCUUGGUAACCGUACGUAGAGUGCAAUGGCAUAAGGAUGCUUGACUGUGAGACUAACAAGUCGAGCAGGUACGAAAGUAGGACAUAGUGAUCCGGUGGUUCCGCAUGGAAGGGCCAUCGCUCAAAGGAUAAAAGGUA